AUGAGUAGGGAUAACCUCGAGAAGAGAAAAUUCAGGAAUCCUAAAGACCGUGUUUUCUGUUCUUGUAAUGAGUCCAUUGAACAUAUGUUUUUUGAUUGCAUAGUAGCAAAGCAAGUGUGGGGUAAAGUUAGUGAGUUCUUUGGUAGACCUUUAGGGAGCAAUGUUACUUCUAUUGCUUGUCUUUGGGCUGCAGGAAAAAGUCUAGAUGCUUUAAAUACAAUUUGUGCUGCUGUUCUCGGCCUUGUGGAAAAACAGGAAAAUAUUGUUUUUAAUGGAGUUUCUUGGAUAUCUCUCAACCAGAUCUGGUGUCUAGUCAUACCGCUGGUUAGAAAAAGGGGCCUGAUCUACAAAGAUCAUAUACUGGACAAGGUGGAGCAAUUCUGCUAA
This 387-nucleotide ribosomal RNA is filed under the name Triticum aestivum (bread wheat). RNAcentral describes it as "partial small subunit ribosomal RNA". Lineage: Eukaryota; Viridiplantae; Streptophyta; Magnoliopsida; Poales; Poaceae. The record is from RNAcentral.